CUACGGGGGGCACCAGUGAGGAAUAUUGGUCAAUGGGCGCAAGCCUGAACCAGCCAUGCCGCGUGCAGGAUGACUGCCCUAUGGGUUGUAAACUGCUUUUGUACAGGAAGAAUCCCUCGUACGUGUACGAGAUUGACUGUACUGUAUGAAUAAGCAUCGGCUAACUCCGUGCCAGCAGCCGCGGUAAUACGGAGGAUGCAAGCGUUAUCCGGAUUUAUUGGGUUUAAAGGGUGCGUAGGCGGGGAAAUAAGUCAGUGGUGAAAUCUUACAGCUUAACUGUGAAAUUGCCGUUGAUACUGUUUCCCUUGAGUUCAGUUGAGGUGGGCGGAAUGUGUAGUGUAGCGGUGAAAUGCUUAGAUAUUACACAGAACACCAAUUGCGAAGGCAGCUCACUAAACUGUUACUGACGCUGAGGCACGAAAGCGUGGGGAGCGAACAGGAUUAGAUACCCUAGUAGUC
Molecule: ribosomal RNA, 459 nt
Filed under: uncultured bacterium
Lineage: Bacteria
Description: partial 16S ribosomal RNA
Rfam family: Bacterial small subunit ribosomal RNA
Source: RNAcentral